AUUGAACGCUGGCGGCAUGCUUUACACAUGCAAGUCGAACGGCAGCACGGGCUUCGGCCUGGUGGCGAGUGGCGAACGGGUGAGUAAUAUAUCGGAACGUACCCAGAAGUGGGGGAUAACGUAGCGAAAGUUACGCUAAUACCGCAUACGAUCUAUGGAUGAAAGCAGGGGACCGCAAGGCCUUGUGCUCCUGGAGCGGCCGAUAUCUGAUUAGCUAGUUGGUGAGGUAAAGGCUCACCAAGGCGACGAUCAGUAGCUGGUCUGAGAGGACGACCAGCCACACUGGAACUGAGACACGGUCCAGACUCCUACGGGAGGCAGCAGUGGGGAAUUUUGGACAAUGGGCGCAAGCCUGAUCCAGCAAUGCCGCGUGAGUGAAGAAGGCCUUCGGGUUGUAAAGCUCUUUUGUCAGGGAAGAAGCGGUAGAGGCUAAUAUCCUUUGCUAAUGACGGUACCUGAAGAAUAAGCACCGGCUAACUACGUG
Molecule: ribosomal RNA, 484 nt
Filed under: uncultured bacterium
Lineage: Bacteria
Description: partial 16S ribosomal RNA
Rfam family: Bacterial small subunit ribosomal RNA
Source: RNAcentral